GUCAAGAUAGCUCAGUUGGUAGAGCAGAGGACUGAAAAUCCUCGUGUCACUAGUUCAAAUCUGGUUCCUGGCA
RNAcentral lists this transfer RNA (73 nucleotides) under Triticum aestivum (bread wheat). It matches the Rfam family "tRNA". From Rfam's summary of the family: Transfer RNA (tRNA) molecules are approximately 80 nucleotides in length. Their secondary structure includes four short double-helical elements and three loops (D, anti-codon, and T loops). Further hydrogen bonds mediate the characteristic L-shaped molecular structure. tRNAs have two regions of fundamental functional importance: the anti-codon, which is responsible for specific mRNA codon recognition, and the 3' end, to which the tRNAs corresponding amino acid is attached (by aminoacyl-tRNA synthetases). tRNAs cope with the degeneracy of the genetic code in two manners: having more than one tRNA (with a specific anti-codon) for a particular amino acid; and 'wobble' base-pairing, i.e. permitting non-standard base-pairing at the 3rd anti-codon position. The record is from Rfam by way of RNAcentral. RNAcentral also lists the same sequence under 1 other name. Lineage: Eukaryota; Viridiplantae; Streptophyta; Magnoliopsida; Poales; Poaceae.